RNAcentral lists this unclassified non-coding RNA (4492 nucleotides) under Hevea brasiliensis (rubber tree). Lineage: Eukaryota; Viridiplantae; Streptophyta; Magnoliopsida; Malpighiales; Euphorbiaceae. The record is from RNAcentral.
UCAAUUCAACAGUCUCUGCGCGCCUUCGAAACGGAUAAAGUCUUUCUUCUUUCUCUCUCACUCUUUCUGCAGAAACUGCUGAAUUGAGCGCAAAAAAAUGCUAGCAAACCCUAGCAGCCUCCAUACGGUACCUUAUUACUUACACAGUUCUCCAUUUUCGCACUUUCGUAGUCGCUGCAAGCUCUCUCUCUCCUCAAAUUGCCCUCGCUUUGUCAGUUCGCGAAAAUCCAAGCUCCCUUCACUGUCUUUGCUUUUCCCUAAUCAAAGAAGGGAUAGGUUUAGUGCAAGAGCUUUGGAAGACCCGGAAGUUUCUGAGUCAGUUACAAUCGAUGGGCCCCAACCUUUCUCUCAAGCUGUCUCUGUCAAAAUCCCCUUUGGAGAUAGACAUAUUUUGGUCGAGACAGAUCAUAUUGGGAGACAAGCUAGUGGUUCUGUGAUGGUAACAGAUGGAGAAACUAUUGUCUACACAUCUGUUUGCAUGGAUGAUGUUCCCAGUGAGCCUUCCGAUUUUUUCCCUCUUUCUGUAAAUUAUCAAGAACGCUUUUCAGCAGCAGGUCGAACUAGUGGAGGAUUUUUCAAACGAGAAGGGAGGGCAAAAGAUCAUGAGGUACUGGCCACCCCCUUCCAAGUGUAAAGAAUAUUUAACCAAGCUGAUAGCUGAAUCAAUUGCCUUUCAAUUAUUGAAUAUAUGCACUUUGUCAAUAAAACUAAAUCUAAUUUGUUACAUUCAUGGAUAUGAAUGGAGUUGUAAAGCACUUAACGUUUGAAAUUAUGGAAUCUAUCAACUGGGAGUUUAUGGUUCUUGUAUGGCAGCAAUAGUUUUGAACAUAUUUCUAUCCUUCAUAUGCUAGGUUUGUUUUGCUUCUGAAUUUGAUGGAAUGGAGUGGUCUUGAUGAUCUCCAUGCCCAGUUGCUAUGAGUUAGUGCUAUCAUUGGCUACUUUUGACCUGCUUUAUGAGUUCUGUUUACUGCUUCCAUGGCCUGCUUUGUUAUCUCCUUUAUUAAAUAGUUGUAUUCCUUGGAAUCAGCUCCUUCUUCUAUUUUUCUUUUAUCCAUUUCUUUGUAUUCUUAGUCAUUAUUCCCUUCUUUUGUAUUCUUAGUCAUUAUUCCCUUCUUUCUCCUAGUAAUGAUUUCUUUUGCUUCUUCUGUGUUGUUCUGACAAGCCACUUGAAUUGAUGAACUAGAAUUUUGUAGUUCAAGCGUGCAAACUCAAUUUAUCAGUGCGGUGGAAACAGCUGUUCCUUGGACACAGGGGAACAAGUAGAGAUAAAAGAAGUUAUCUAGUUUGAUACUUUGCUGGAGUAUAUGGCAGUUUCCCUGUCACAAUUUCAAAUCUUUCUCUUGGUUCCUUUGAAAUUAUUGUUUAUCUAUUUAUGUGUUUUUUUUCCCCCUUUUGCUGUAUCUAGGUUCUCAUUUGUAGAUUGAUUGAUAGGCCUUUGCGCCCAACUAUGCUCAAGGGUUUCUACCAUGAGACUCAGAUACUAUCUUGGGUUUUGAGCUAUGAUGGUUUGCAUUUCCCUGAUUCCUUAGCAGUUACAGCAGCUGGAAUAGCAGUGGCUCUUUCAGAAGUGCCAACUACAAAAGCAAUUGCUGGUGUUCGAGUUGGCCUUGUUGGGGAUAGGUUUAUUGUGAAUCCAACAACCAAGGACAUGGAAGAGUCAGAGCUUGAUUUAGUACUGGCUGGCACAGAGAGUGCAAUAUUGAUGAUAGAGGGUUAUUGCAAUUUCCUCCCAGAAGAAAAGUUGCUUGAAGCAGUACAAGUUGGGCAGGAUGCAGUACGGGCUAUUUGCAAUGAGGUAGAUGCAUUGGUGAAGAAGUGUGGGAAACCUAAGAUGUUUGACGCAAUCAAAUUACCCCCUUCUGAGCUAUAUAAACAUGUGGAGGAAAUUGCUGGUGACGAGUUAGUGAACGUGCUACAAAUAAGGAACAAAAUACCAAGAAGAAAGGCCCUCACAUCAUUGGAAGAAAAGGUUAUUAGUAUACUUACAGAAAAGGGAUAUGUAAGUAAGGAUGCUAGUUUUGGAACCACUGAAACAGUUGCAGAUUUGCUUGAGGAAGAAGAUGAGGAUGAGGAAGUUGUUGUGGAUGGUGAAGUAGAUGAAGGCGAUGUCCACAUAAAGCCAAUAUCACGUAAAUCCUCUCCCUUGUUGUUUUCAGAGGUAGAUGUGAAACUGGUAUUCAAAGAAGUUACUUCCAAAUUCCUGCGGAGGCGUAUUGUAGAGGGAGGAAAGAGAAGUGAUGGGCGAGACCCAGAUGGCAUACGCCCAAUUAACUCAAGGUGUGGCUUACUCCCUAGGGCCCAUGGAAGUGCUCUUUUCACCCGUGGAGAAACACAGUCGCUAGCGGUGGUCACACUCGGUGAUAAACAGAUGGCACAAAGAGUUGACAACCUUUUGGAUGUGGAUGAAUUCAAGAGGUUCUAUCUUCAGUACUCAUUUCCUCCAUCUUGUGUUGGGGAAGUAGGGCGAAUAGGAGCACCUAGUAGAAGAGAAAUUGGACAUGGAAUGCUUGCGGAGAGAGCUCUUGAACCUAUAUUGCCUUCUGAAGAUGAUUUUCCAUAUACCAUUCGAGUUGAGAGUACCAUCACUGAAAGCAAUGGCUCCUCAAGCAUGGCCUCAGUUUGUGGAGGUUGCUUGGCAUUGCAAGAUGCUGGGGUUCCGCUAAAAUGCUCAAUUGUUGGGAUAGCAAUGGGUAUGGUUUUGGAUACUGAAGAAUUUGGGGGUGAUGGAACACCACUUAUUCUAUCUGACAUAACUGGAUCUGAAGAUGCAUCUGGAGAUAUGGAUUUUAAGGUUGCUGGAAAUGAAGACAGAGUAACUGCAUUUCAGAUGGACAUAAAGGUUGGAGGAAUCACUUUACCUGUAAUGAGAAGGGCACUAUUACAGGCAAGAGAUGGCCGGAAGCAUAUUCUUGCUGAAAUGUUGAAGUGCUCACCUCCCCCUUCUAAAAGACUGUCUAAGUAUGCCCCAUUGAUUCAUAUUAUGAAGGUCCGUCCUGAGAAAGUUAAUAUGAUCAUUGGUUCUGGUGGGAAGAAGGUGAGGAGUAUUAUAGAAGAAACAGGAGUAGAGGCUAUUGACGCAGAUGAUGACGGAAUUGUAAAAAUUACAGCUAAGGAUUUGUCAAGUCUAGAGAAAUCCAAAUCCAUUAUCAGUAAUCUUACAAUGGUUCCAACCGUUGGUGAUAUUUUUAGGAAUUGUGAGAUCAAAUCAAUAGCUCCUUAUGGAGUUUUUGUUGAGAUAGCCCCAGGUCGUGAGGGACUUUGCCAUAUAAGUGAACUGACUUCGAGCUGGCUACCAAAGGCAGAAGACGCUUUUAAAGUUGGAGACCGUCUUGAUGUUAAACUUAUUGAGGUAAAUGAAAAGGGACAACUUCGCCUUAGCCGCAAGGCGCUACUUCCAGAACCAACUGUAGAGAAGCCCAGUGCAAAGCAAGAUGAAAAUGACCAAAAGACUCUGGCCUCACAAAAGGCAACUGAUAAGAGUAACCCUAGAAAAACUGUAAUUUCACCUCAGGAUGGUGUAACUGAAGAGAAGACUGAAAAACUUAAGGAUAAAACCAGUGAUGCAGUAGAGGACACUCCAGUUUCACAAAAGAAGGUUUACAAGAAGUUAGCCAGCUCUACCAGAGAUGGGCCUAAUGUUAACAAAGACAGGCCAAAAAAAAGCAACAAUAAAGUUGUCACUAGUGUUCCUACCAAAGAUGGAAAUACAUUAGUGAAUGGAGAAGUCAAAAUUGGAUAACAAGUACACCCUCUUCUUAAUUUUUGACAAAGAACUUGUUGGUCCUUGUAUUAUGGUAAAGGUGAUGGAUGAGCUGCAACUUGAAGUAAAACUGAAGUUAGUAGUUAAUUUCAACAUGCUGCAUCCAAAAGCUGGACUAAAGUUGAAGGACUAUGAUGCCAAGGAGCUCGUUCCUUUCCUGAGAGAGAAAGGCAAUGGAAUUUUCUGAAACAAUUGAUUCUUGUUACUUGAUUGAAACAAAAGAAACUCAACUUGUUUGCUGCAGAGGAAAACAUCUUACGGGGAUACAUUUGGGAUGCGUUUUUAAUUGAAGGUUUCAUGGUUUAUCCUUCUUGUAUCAUCUCCAUUCUCUCCUAAUCUCCAUCUUCUGGCUUGAGAAAUAUGUUUUGUAGUGCAUUUUUUUUUCCCUUUUCCUUUUCUAUGGUCGACGCUACUGUGUAAAUCCACUCGAAUUGAUAUUAAUUCCGCUGUCAACCACAGCUUAUCUUAAUGAUUUGAAAAGCGUCAUUCUUCUUGGAUCGACAACUAGCUAAUUCAACCUUUAUUGCUUGGGAGUUAGAUCUAAGUUCUAAUGGCACUGUGGACCUUGCACCUUCAACUUGAGAGGUUAUGAUUUGGACAAGAAACCUGGCCGCCUAUUCUGGUUCAAAGGUUUAAGAGACUCCGGAUCGGACAAUAUGGCUUUCUUGAUUUCAAUUUUGAUAUAAUUUAAUGGUUGAAUUUUUUAAUUCCUUUUAAGAAAAAAAAAUUGAU